UACGUAGGGGGCGAGCGUUGUCCGGAUUUACUGGGCGUAAAGCGCGUGUAGGCGGCCCGUUAAGUGGGGUGUGAAAGCCCGGGGCUCAACCCCGGGACGCCGCUUCAAACUGGCGGGCUUGAGGACGGAAGAGGGGAGUGGAAUUCCUGGUGUAGCGGUGAAAUGCGUAGAGAUCAGGAGGAACACCCGUGGCGAAGGCGGCUCCCUGGGCCGAUACUGACGCUGAGGAGCGAAAGCGUGGGGAGCGAACAGG
RNAcentral lists this ribosomal RNA (253 nucleotides) under uncultured bacterium. RNAcentral describes it as "partial 16S ribosomal RNA". It matches the Rfam family "Bacterial small subunit ribosomal RNA", at positions 524 to 776 of the family's 1533-position model. The record is from RNAcentral.